CCUACGGGUGGCAGCAGUAAGGAAUAUUGGUCAAUGGACGCAAGUCUGAACCAGCCAUGCCGCGUGAAGGAUGAAGGUCCUCUGGAUUGUAAACUUCUUUUGAUGGGGAAGAAACCCUGGUUUUUUAACUAGGUUGACGGUACCUAUGGAAUAAGCACCGGCUAACUCCGUGCCAGCAGCCGCGGUAAUACGGAGGGUGCAAGCGUUAUCCGGAUUCACUGGGUUUAAAGGGUGCGUAGGCGGGCAGGUAAGUCAGUGGUGAAAUCCCCGAGCUUAACUUGGGAACUGCCAUUGAUACUAUCUGUCUUGAAUGUUGUGGAGGUCAGCGGAAUAUGUCAUGUAGCGGUGAAAUGCUUAGAUAUGACAUAGAACACCGAUUGCGAAGGCAGCUGGCUACACAAAUAUUGACGCUGAGGCACGAAAGCGUGGGGAUCAAACAGGAUUAGAUACCCCAGUAGUC
RNAcentral lists this ribosomal RNA (460 nucleotides) under uncultured bacterium. Its description in RNAcentral is "bacterial SSU rRNA". It matches the Rfam family "Bacterial small subunit ribosomal RNA", at positions 338 to 795 of the family's 1533-position model. The record is from RNAcentral.